AUUGAACGCUGGCGGCAUGCCUUACACAUGCAAGUCGAACGGUAACAGGUUAAGCUGACGAGUGGCGAACGGGGGAGUAAUGUAUCGGAACGUGCCCAGGUGUGGGGGAUAACUGCUCGAAAGAGCAGCUAAUACCGCAUACGACCUGAGGGUGAAAGCGGGGGAUCGCAAGACCUCGCGCAAUUGGAGCGGCCGAUAUCAGAUUAGGUAGUUGGUGGGGUAAAGGCUCACCAAGCCGACGAUCUGUAGCUGGUCUGAGAGGACGACCAGCCACACUGGGACUGAGACACGGCCCAGACUCCUACGGGAGGCAGCAGUGGGGAAUUUUGGACAAUGGGCGCAAGCCUGAUCCAGCCAUGCCGCGUGCGGGAAGAAGGCCUUCGGGUUGUAAACCGCUUUUGUCAGGGAAGGAACGCUCUGGGUUAAUACCCUGGGGUAAUGACGGUACCUGAAGAAUAAGCACCGGCUAACUACGUGCCAGCAGCCGCCGUAA
Molecule: ribosomal RNA, 493 nt
Filed under: uncultured bacterium
Lineage: Bacteria
Description: partial 16S ribosomal RNA
Rfam family: Bacterial small subunit ribosomal RNA
Source: RNAcentral